GACGAACGCUGGCGGCGUGCUUAACACAUGCAAGUCGAACGGAAAGGCCCUGCUUUUGUGGGGUGCUCGAGUGGCGAACGGGUGAGUAACACGUGAGUAACCUGCCCUUGACUUUGGGAUAACUUCAGGAAACUGGGGCUAAUACCGGAUAGGAGCUCCUGCUGCAUGGUGGGGGUUGGAAAGUUUCGGCGGUUGGGGAUGGACUCGCGGCUUAUCAGCUUGUUGGUGGGGUAGUGGCUUACCAAGGCUUUGACGGGUAGCCGGCCUGAGAGGGUGACCGGCCACAGUGGGACUGAGAUACGGCCCAGACUCCUACGGGGGGCCGCAGUGGGGAAUAUUGCACGAUGAGCGGAAGCCUGAUGCAGCAACGCCGCGUGCGGGAUGACGGCCUUCGGGUUGUAAACCGCUUUCGCCUGUGACGAAGCGUGAGUGACGGUAAUGGGUAAAGAAGCACCGGCUAACUACGUG
RNAcentral lists this ribosomal RNA (468 nucleotides) under uncultured bacterium. RNAcentral's name for it is "partial 16S ribosomal RNA". It matches the Rfam family "Bacterial small subunit ribosomal RNA", at positions 28 to 507 of the family's 1533-position model. The record is from RNAcentral.